AUCCCAUGGUGUAGAAAUUGCCUUAGCAAUUCUUUGAAUCUUUACCAAGCACCAAACAAAGAUUCAUCAUCUCCUUGCCUAAAUGAAAUGAUUUCAUUUCUCAUUUU
Molecule: small nucleolar RNA, 107 nt
Organism: Vicia villosa (hairy vetch)
Lineage: Eukaryota; Viridiplantae; Streptophyta; Magnoliopsida; Fabales; Fabaceae
Source: RefSeq, a predicted model, not a curated record